UUUUUGCUGAUCUAACCAGUGGAGAUCAUUCGAACUAAAAAUAACAAAAUAGGUUGAAGCUCGUAUACAUCUGAUUUGAGCUAAUAGCUCAUUUAAGGCUAAUCUCCAAUAGGCUGCAGAACAUUUCAAAUAAGCUAUUGAGUUAGAUUUGGUCACCUGUUAUCAUAUUGAGAUUUGGGAUGUUCGUAGACCAAUAUUGUGGUGAAAGAAUGUAAGCCCGGAGAAUAUUUGCUAAUGCCAUCGCACAACAUUGUACUCCUGCGAAUCCUGAUGUGAAUACUCGUAUAAUAUCGUUUCCUUGAUGCAAUAAAGCACAAACACGCAUUCUUGAGGAAGCAGCGAUUUCCAUGUAAGCACUAGAAUUUCUAGUAGAUUCUUCACUAGUCUCUUCAGCUAUCUCGAGUGGUGCUUCUUCAACUCUUAUAAUAUAAUUGUCUUCAAUUACAACGUUCUGAUCGAUAGUGACAUCCUUGAUAAGUGGAUUGUUCGAAAUUAGCCAAUAGAGUGCAUCAUGUACUUUUUGCUUUGAUACUGAAAACUGUUGUGUUACAUUAAUGUUCUCUAAACGUUCAGUAAUGACGACUGUUCCAGCAUUAUUUGCAGUUCUUGGUAACAUAUUAGGAAGAUUUUCAGUAACUUCAAAAACAUCUUAUGCGAACAAUACCGUUUGGCCACAGAAACUGUGUUGCCCAAAUACUCCACUUAAUUUAAUAAUUUUUACAAAUGGAAUAAGUAAAAUUGGUCGUUGUUCUGCUUGUGAUAAUUCCGCAAUUAAUUUUGGAAUAGAACCUAGGUCCAAAUUGUACUAAUAAGAUUGAGACGGUGCAAAUUUUUUCUUUGAACUCAAAUGAGACUUGCACCGUUUACAAACGAUCAAGGAAUUUCUUUGUUUUAUUUCGCUAGGAAAAAAUGGGACUGACUUAAUGUCUACAAUCCAUUUAGAGAUCAGAUUCUGACAGCACCAAAUGUCGCAAAUUUAGCGCAAAUUUCACAGAUCUUAUCAUAAAACGUGUUAAUUGACCCCAUAAAGCCUGAUGUAUUGGCUCUACCUAGUCCUCUCGACUCUGAGUUUCGUUGCCGCAUCUGCUGCAAGAGAACUACUCUGUCCUCUCCUGUCUGUAAGGCUCGAUAUUCAGCAAUAUGUGGCCGCAUGUGCUGAAACCGAGCCGCUUUGUCUUCUUCUGACUGUGAAUUGUAUACAUUGUUUCAUAUAUAGUCGCCAUUAAUUUUUUCUCUCGACCAUUCCUUCAGUCGACAAUCCUGAAAGUUUUCCUUUCAGUUUUUGUCUCUUUUUCGUUAAUUUCCUGUUUCUUUGAGUUGUAGUUUAUUCCCACGAGUAAUGGACAAUUAAACGGGUAAACCUCCCAGAGAUCCGAUAGGAAGAUAGGGCUUUUAUUCGACAGGGUACAGGAUGGUGUCCUGAAUUUGACGCUAGCGACAUUUUUAAACACCCUGUGCCAUUCAUACUUCUUCACGUUUCUCACCUUAUGUUGGAUUGGGUGGUUUAAAAUUAAGGAAAAUUAAGCGCUCGAAACAGAGAACUUAAAACAAUUGUUUUAAGUUCUCUGGCACAGCUAUAAUCUGUAUCGUAACUCUUGUUAACUAGAAUGGUAUUUUCAAUUCAUAUUCUUUUUUUGUAUUUAAGUCUAUUAGACUUUAUGAUUACAAAUUUAUUGAUCGUAUUAAAUUCCUUUUUACCGACUGUAAUUUCAAAGAUUUACUGCUACCGAAUUUUGUUCCGUAAAAUAAAUAUAUUAAUAGCCAAAAUUGCCUGCAAGUUGCUAAAAAUCUACCAUCGGAAAUUGCAUAGAAAUUGUCAACAACACUUGUGGUCAAAUGUUGCGUACAAUUAACCAACAAGAAUUUCCAAAAAACGUUUUGCAGUAAGGUGGUCUUCAAAUGUUAAGAAAUUCACCGCCGACUUUCAUACGACUUUGUGCUCGACAACUUGACUUCAAUUCCCUGCAGUUCUCCGUUGUGCUGUGCCGAGUUCCCAAACAAAAGAAAAAUUCCGAAACUGCAGUCAUGCGCAGAUCGCGCGCUAGCGGGCGGUAAAUUGUCUCGGACCGGUUCAGCGUCAUCCUCGAUUGCAUCGUUCUAUAUCAUUUUAUAAAUCUACAAGUAA
This is a long non-coding RNA of Bactrocera oleae (olive fruit fly), 2125 nucleotides long. RefSeq lists it as uncharacterized. NCBI's taxonomy places the organism in Eukaryota, Metazoa, Arthropoda, Insecta, Diptera, Tephritidae. The record is from RefSeq and is a predicted model, not a curated record.